RNAcentral lists this long non-coding RNA (696 nucleotides) under Nicotiana tabacum (common tobacco). RNAcentral's name for it is "long non-coding RNA (NTAB_LNC004562)". Lineage: Eukaryota; Viridiplantae; Streptophyta; Magnoliopsida; Solanales; Solanaceae. The record is from RNAcentral.
GGUUCAACAGCUAAAUUUAGAGAUGGUGCACAUAUCAUUAACUACACCUCAAACUAAUGAUACUUAUGCCCACAGAUUACACACGAGGUGCAGUGUCGAUUUCCAUACUCGUUUUGGCCAUUAUCACUUAAAUCCGCAGCAUGUUUCAGGUAUCAGUUAAAUCAAACACCUCAAUCAAAGUUAUAACAUUGCACUUAUGCUAAAUAAGAUUUCAACACGUACAAAUAUGCUAAAACUAAAUUUCAAUAGAUUCAAACAAUUGAAGCACAUGAGCUAGAAGUGCAUCCACAAUUUCAUUACGAAUUAGAGAGGAGAUACAUGAUUUGGAUAUGUACCUGGUCACUUAGGAAUCAACAUAAAAUUGCCAAAGAAAGGCUAGAAAGGAGGAAACGUUGGAGUUCAGCUGCAGUUUAUUUGCAAAACAACUUCAAUUACCAGUUGAAAUCACCUUGAAAAAACCCAGGGAAGUGUGAAUAAAAUCUUCAAAUCUCUAUUUCACUUCAAGUUCUACUUGAAAUCUUUAAUUUUUUUGCUUUUUUCAGAGCUUUUGUUUUUGUCCUCACAUCUGAUCUUUGAACUUGAAUUCAGAAUGUGAUUGUGUGCGUCGAUGACUGAGAGAGGUGAGAAUUGUGUGAUUUCUCUUUAAGGAGAUGAAGGGAAGGUCUGCUCUUUGUCUUUUGUAGCAGAUUAAAGGCG